GCCUCCUUGGCUUAGUGGUAAAGCGUCGCACUUGUAAACUGGCUUCCCUUCUCUUCUGAAGAGUGUGUUGGUUCCGAAAUGCGAAGAUCGCUGGUUCAAUUCCGGCAGGAGGCA
Molecule: non-coding RNA, 114 nt
Organism: Peziza echinospora
Lineage: Eukaryota; Fungi; Ascomycota; Pezizomycetes; Pezizales; Pezizaceae
Source: the annotation of a GenBank genome assembly